CACACACACACACACACACACACUCCCAUACACCUGACACAGACCUUCCCACACACUCCUCAUACAUCUCUGAAGCUCGAGGUUUUUAGUUGAUGAAGGUGACAGAAAAGCAGAAUGGGACCUCGCACAGCAGUCGGGCCAUCCAAACAGAUGAAGGUCGCCCCUCAGGAUCGUCGUGGUAGCAGGAGUGACGGUGUUGAAGAGGCAGGUGAGUCCAGAAGAGCUGCAGACACCUGGAGGGAAAUAUCUAAAAAGGAUAUUCACUAUCGUCGGGGAUGCUGUGGGCUGGGGGUUUGUUGUGAGAGGCAGCAGUCCAUGUCACAUUCAGGCUGUGGAUCCUAGCGGACCAGCUGCUGCUGUUGGAAUGAAGGUAUGUCAGUUUGUAGUGUGUGUAAACGGAGUGAAUGUUUUGGAGAUGGACUACCGGACGGUCAGUCAUCUCAUCCUCACCGGACCUCGCACUGUCGUCAUGGAGGUGAUGGAGGCGCUCGAUUGCUGAGGAUAUGACUAAACAAGCUACUCUAAAAAUUCAAAGAAGUAAUUCAAAAACAAUUGAAAAAAAAAAAAAAAGUUCACUAACAUACAAGGUGAUGAGUUGCUGCAUCAGACUGCUAAAAAAAAAAAAAAACAAAAAAAAAAAACCCUGUAAAUUGUGACAGUACCCAUCAUAUUUGUAAAGAACAACCCUUUGUGUUUGCUGUUUGUAAAACCAGCUCAGGUGCAGAGGGACAAUCUUUGACCCCAACGCUGUCUCUUGCAUGGCAACGUUUAUAAAAAUGAUAAAUCGGUACGAAACAAAGAAUGGUUCUCCGUAUUAGAUUUUAAACAUUAGACAGUUUGUAAGCAGACCUGAAAUACCGUGAGGGGAAAUAAGUAUUCAGACACUUUUGUUUUUGUUAUUUAACAUACGUCCUGUGCAUAUUUCCACUUCAAAUGUACACUCAUAAUGUCUUUUUUUUUUUUUUUUUUUUCGUUUUUAUAAAUAUGAACAAAAACACAUAUAGUCCUAAACAUUAAACAAAUAUAUCUUUUAAGAAAUUGACUAGAUUAAAAAAUUUCAAUAUAUAUCAAAUGGGGAAAAAAAUAUAUUAUGUAUAGAAAUCAAAUUCAAGAUGCAAAAAAAAAAAAAUUAAAAAAAAAAUGCCCUUGAGAUUAUUAUUGGUGACAUUUAUUAUAAAAGAUGUUGCAUUUGGUUGAGAAGAUUUCACGCAACAAGUAGCAAUCAUGGUGAAGGUGAAGGGGCUUCCUAAAAUUCUCAGGUACAACAUCACUCGAAUGGGAAUUAGCUACAGAGCCAUCGCGAAGAACUUAAACAUCCUCUUAAACAUAGAACUAUUGUUUUGAUGAUCUGCAGGUGCGUCACACACACAGUAUUUCACAACAUGCCCUCGGACUAAUGAUAAGGAAGAUUAGAGAGAAGCCAACCGUCACUGGAAAUGAGUUGCAGGAUGACCUGAAAGCAGCAGGAACAACAGUGACACACACAACAAGAAGCAAUGAACUGCACCACAAUCAUCCUCAUUCCUAAACCUCACACAAAACUAAAAGAGAAACAUCUAAAAACAUUUAGAAUCAGAAUAAUUUACUAACAUAAAGAAAGCACUCUUUGCCAAUACUUCAGCUCAUCACGUGUGGAGAAAGGAGCGUCGUGUCUGAUCUUUAAGAACAUUAUAUCCACAGUGAAGCAUGGGGGUGGGAGUUUUGUGAUAAGUUCUGCUUCUCUGCAGACAGUACUGGGGCAUUACACGUCAUGAUUGCCAGAAACACGAAUGGAGUGAUGUACUGGGACAUACACGACCGGCCGGUCAAAAGUUUGUGGACACUCGACUCAGAUGUUUCUCAUGAUGUUAAAAAGCUUUCGAUCUGAAGGCGUGUGAUGAAACGUGUGAAAUCGGUGUCGUAGACGAAAAUAUAAUCGUGCCGACGUAUCCGUUUCUUUCAUUAGAAAACGAACGUUUUAUUUACAAACGAAAUUCAUUUAAACGGACGACUCGGAGGGAAAUAUUUCCGAAAAGCAGCCGAUAAGUGUCCGGCGUCGGUGUGAACUAAUAAUACUUUAAUGCUGUUUAAAAAGCAUCUCAGGGAAAUUCCUCAAGAAAUCAGCUGAGAAAACGCUUCUUCGAGUCAAAAAGGGCGUCCGCUUUGAAGAUGCUAAAAUACUCCGUUAUUUUGAUUCAUUGUGGAUUUUUUAUCACAACACAAUUCCCAUAGUUCCCUUUGUGUUACUCCAGAGUUUUGAUGACUUUAUUAUUAUUCUAAAAUGUGUGUGGGGGGGGGGGGAUAAAAAAUAAUGAGUGUGCCUAAACUUUUGACCGGUAGUGUAUAAGAGGAGAAUUUAAUCUCAUCAGCUAAGGAAGUGAAUCUGGGGUGAAGCUGGACGGUUCAAUAACCCCAAACAUACAGCACAUAAUAACACACGUAAGAAAGAAACUGAAGGUGCUUGCAUAGACUAGCCAAUCUCCUGACUUCAUUUAUGGAGGACUGCCAAGAGGAAUGCGCCGAAAUCGGACCACGAUGCUGCAAAAAGAGAACGAAUUCUUACCAUAGACGUCUCGAAUCUGUGAUUUCCAACUACUAUUACUAAUAUGAGUACCAACUGUCCUAAUGUUGAUCAUUUAUGGUGUCUAAAUACGUUUUUUUUCCCUUAUCUCUUCUGUUUUUAAACAUAUCUUUGUUUAUGUUUAUGAAUACAUGUUUUUUUUUUUUUAUAAAGUCAUAUUUAUAAGUACGACGUCAAAGGAUACCACGUGUCUAGAUUUGUAGUGGAUAUAUGCACUGGAAGUAUAUUAAGUGCCUAAAUACUUAUUUCCCCUCACUAUAUUAGCAGAUAUUGAUUAGUAGAUCUAAGUUUUCAGUAGACGUUAUCAGUACUUAGCGAACAGAUUUUAGUUAUUGAUUAUCUGAGAUAUUGAUUUGUAGAUUUCCAUUUUCUCAGCAGUUCUUAGUUAGCAGUUAUUUUGGUAAAGUCCCAAUUUAAACUAGCAUACUGUAGACAUAUACAUAACAGUAUAUACACAUAUAUACACAUUGAUUUAGCUAGUCAGUUUAGUCACAAGAGCCCUACAGGUAGAGUGGGAAACGGUCAAUUUUAGAAAAUGUACCUUCUGACCAAUGAAAUAUGAGAAUUUAACAGUGCUGUGGUAUAAUAACUUAAAAAUAUCAAUACCAUAAUCGAUUCUUAUAUUAACUAACCUAACUUGCUGAUCUUUUAAGCACCGAUAUUUGGCCCAGUAAACUGAGAACUCCAGUUAUAAACGUGCUGUAAUUAUGGCUUUUGCAAUAAAAACCAGUAUACACCUUUAAAGCACCCUUAAUAUUUAUCAUGAACAUUUAAAAUAGUAUAAAUUAGUGAUGGACUGCUCUAAUGUAUUUCUUAUUAAAAGCGUAUUAUUAUAAGUACAAACUAUACAAUGUAAAGUACACAAUAAGCAUAAUUCAAACGAUUUCGUUUGUAAACAUUUAAUUCCAAACAUAAUUAUAUGUUGUCACUUAAUUCAUUAUGAAUACAUGUGCCACGGAAAGUAUUACCCAGAAUAUAUUGCUCAUUCGUUCUGUAUUCAUUGCUUUACAAUGAUGAGUUUGUACUUCAAUAGACAGUUAAUAAUGAUGAUUUCUGUAAAUGAACAUACUAAACAUACCUCCGUCUCUCUGUUACAAGUCUAAAUAUGAUUCGUUAUACUGCAUGUACACACUGGACUUAAUUUAAAGAUGGAUGUGUUGGGUUUAAUGUGUAAUGUGUGGUUAUGGUAGAGUACUUGCCUGUGCCGUGUGUUUGUAGCAUACAGUCUCUUUGUUUAACUUAGGAAAAGAUAUCCGGUUAAUUGGUUUAUUCUUUCUUUAGGUUUCUGCUACAGUUAUAUGUCUUUGUCCAUGUGCGCACUUAAAAAUAAAUUUCUAUGCACGCAA
Molecule: RNA transcript, 3906 nt
Organism: Ictalurus furcatus (blue catfish)
Lineage: Eukaryota; Metazoa; Chordata; Actinopteri; Siluriformes; Ictaluridae
Gene name: DEP domain-containing mTOR-interacting protein
Exons: 5
Source: RefSeq, a predicted model, not a curated record